AAAGCAGUUAGGUGCCCUACUCCCAUUGGUUGCUGCGGAUCGUUCACUCAGCUUUCAGAUCCCUGGGAUUGUUAACGGCUGCACAGGAGAAACCACUUAAAGUGCAGAUAGAAGGGUUGCCUGAUCCUGCUUGCAGGCUACGGGGCUCUGCAGGAAAGCAUGUGAUCUAUGUUUCAGAUAGUCUGCAGAAAGCCAUCCUAGAGCCAGGUAAGGAAGACAAAAUAUCACAGGAGAGAAGAUCUUAAGGGAGAUGAAGGACAUACAUUUGAGAGCUUCGCUUCGCAAUCUCAUCAUCAGUCCCACAGAAAGGAAGUUCUGAUAAUGGACUGCAGGAUUUGGUCUUGUGAAUGGUUCAGCACACAGCAGAGCAAGCACAGUAUGACCCACUUCGAAACUCCAUCCCCGCUUUUCAGCAUCGUGACAUGGUCUUUCCCCAGGCGAAAGCUACGCACUGGAGCGCCACACGCUAUGUUUGCAUCUAUCACCUCUAAAUAUAAUCAGCCAGCGCUUCUACUGGUGCACUUCAAAGUGGGUAUCAUUCAGUUCUGUGAGUGCUUUUUGGGUGAAAUUCACCUCUGUGUAGAGGCCCAGCACCAGGCCCAUGGCACCACUUCAGUCUCACAUAAACCCUUUUGCACAGGGGCGCAUUUGAUCCAGUGGAACUAAGGGCUGCAGCAACAUGCCCUCUUCAUCUAAGCUGCGAAUGAGAAGUGAAGAUGAGCUCUUCUACACCAGGCGAAUAGAGAGAACCUUGGGGCACAGUUAUACACUAAUUUCAAAGACUGGCAAGUGUGUGUGGAGGGAACUAGAAAGUUUCUACUGAAGUAUAAUUAAGACUGUUUUCAAGUGCAGUUGUAACCGUAAAAUGGAAGAGUAAGGGAGUUAAAAUGGAACCAUUUACAGAGCAGUAAAAGCUCUGCUGCAU
Molecule: long non-coding RNA, 925 nt
Organism: Mauremys reevesii (Reeves's turtle)
Lineage: Eukaryota; Metazoa; Chordata; Testudines; Geoemydidae
Exons: 4
Source: RefSeq, a predicted model, not a curated record